UUACUGCCUUUCGCUCUCUUGUUUCUCUCUCUCUAUUUUGGAGACUUUAUUCUUCUUUCUUCUUGGUUUUUGGAAUCUGGAGAUUAUUAUUCCUUUGUAUGAUUCUUGUAAAUCUCGUGUGUUUCAGUAACCAGUAGACAGGAUGUGUAGUCAAUCUAUUGUAUUUGUGUAGUUGUGGUCGGUUUUGUUAGGAAGCAGAUUGUAGUGUCUAGAUUUGAGAUCCGUUUGGAUCGAUGAUUGAUCUGGUUGUUCUCUUUAGUUCUAUGUACUGUACUCUCUCUGGGAGGUAGAAUUGCACUAGUGGAUUGGGCUGACUCUGAGCCCCCUAGAUUAAGCCAUUCGAGCCGAACUGGGUGAACAUUUUCUGUGUACCUUUAUUUUCUUGUACUUUGUGUUUGUGUUGCUUGUGUUGUUCUUGAUUUUGGGUUAAAAUACCCUACAAAUCUGGUAUCAGAGCUAUUAAAGGCUUGAGGUAAGACAUAUUUGAAUUUAGUUUAAUUUCUAGUCGUUUUAACGUGUUUACUUCACUUGUGCAGUAACAAGAAAGUGAAAUAAAUCGAUUCUUGGAAGCUAGGGUUUGGAUUUACAUUUGCAGAAAUCGGAUCUGCAUUUGUUAAAUACUGUAAUACACAAUAUUUGGUACCUUGGGCAAUGAUGUUGGUUAGUCUUUCCACAAAUGUACAAUUCAGCAACUGAGAGAGCUAGUGCAAUUUUGAGAACCAAGGUGAAGAUUGAAGGAGAAAACUUGUUUCUCCAAAUUGCAACUUAAGAGAGGGUGAUUUGGACAUUUUUGGCACUUAAAGUUAGUGGAUGUUACGUGGCGGCUUCUGAUUCGUCCCUUUCAUGUUACUUGGAUCUCUGUUUCUUUUGGCGUUGUGUAGACCGUUCGAUUACUUGAAUGGUGGAGAUCAACCAAGAUUAUUAUCUCUUGGCUUCUAGUGAAUUCAGUUGGUAGAAAGAGACUUCUCAGUUACUGCCUUUCGCUCUCUCGUUUUUCUCUCUCUAUUUUGGAGACUUUCUUUUUCUUCUUUCUUGAUUUUUCGAAUCUAGAGAUUAUUACUCCUUUGUAUGAUUCUUGUAAAUCUCAUGUGCUAUGGUAACCAGUAGGCAGGUUGCGUAAUUGAUCUGUUGUAUUUGUGUAAUUGUGACCGAUUUGUGAGGAAGCAGGUUGUAGUGUCCAGAUUUGAGAUUCUUUUGGAUCGAUGAUUGAUGUGGUUGUUCUCUUUGGUUCUAUGUACUAUACUCUCUCUGAGAGUUAGAAUUGCACUAGUGGAUUGGGUUGACUCUAAGCUUCCCAGAUUAAGCUA
This is a long non-coding RNA of Olea europaea var. sylvestris, 1307 nucleotides long. RefSeq lists it as uncharacterized. The record is from RefSeq and is a predicted model, not a curated record. NCBI's taxonomy places the organism in Eukaryota, Viridiplantae, Streptophyta, Magnoliopsida, Lamiales, Oleaceae. The transcript is spliced from 2 exons.